Molecule: ribosomal RNA, 242 nt
Filed under: uncultured bacterium
Lineage: Bacteria
Description: partial 16S ribosomal RNA
Rfam family: Bacterial small subunit ribosomal RNA
Source: RNAcentral
GAUCAUGGCUAGGAUGAACGCUAGCUACAGGCUUAACACAUGCAAGUCGAGGGGAAACGACAUCGAAAGCUUGCUUUUGAUGGGCGUCGACCGGCGCACGGGUGAGUAACGCGUAUCCAACCUGCCCACCACUUGGGGAUAACCGUUGCGAAAGUAAGACUAAUACCCAAUGAUAUCUCUAGAAGACAUCGUGAAAGGGAUUUAAAGAUUUAUCGGUGAUGGAUGGGGAUGCGUCUGAUUAG